AUGGAACACGUUGAGAAUCCUGUUGAGGGUGACAAUGGAACUCCUGUGAGGAGUAAGAGACAGAGGACUGCAAAGUCCUUUGGUGAUGAUUUCAUUGUGUACCUCGUGGAUGACACACCCAGGACUAUUUCAGAAGCCUAUGCAUCUCUUGAUGCUGACUACUGGAAGGAAGCCGUACGUAGCGAGAUGGAUUCCAUCUUAGCUAACGGAACCUGGGAGAUCACUAACCGUCCUUAUGGGUGCAAACCUGUAGGAUGUAAGUGGGUGUUCAAGAAGAAGCUUAGACCUGAUGGUACGAUUGAAAAGUACAAGGCACGGCUUGUGGCUAAGGGUUAUACCUAG
RNAcentral lists this ribosomal RNA (342 nucleotides) under Triticum aestivum (bread wheat). Its description in RNAcentral is "partial small subunit ribosomal RNA". Lineage: Eukaryota; Viridiplantae; Streptophyta; Magnoliopsida; Poales; Poaceae. The record is from RNAcentral.